Non-coding RNA from Ictidomys tridecemlineatus (thirteen-lined ground squirrel), 1233 nucleotides. The record is from RefSeq and is a predicted model, not a curated record. NCBI's taxonomy places the organism in Eukaryota, Metazoa, Chordata, Mammalia, Rodentia, Sciuridae.
UCUGCUCCGUAGGCUGAUCUGACUGGGGGCUCUCAGUUCCCUUCCUCUCCAGCUUUCCCAGGCGACUGGCAGCCCUGGUAAACAGCCCACGCAAGGAGGAGGUUUGAGACGCAAUGGCCUAGAUGGAGAAAGGAGAUGAUUGGUCCCUGUCCUGCCAAGCUACAUCAUUGGCUGUCUGUCUGAAGCAGCUCCUGUGAUUGGCUGACCAAGCAGUCCCACAAAGGAUGGUUCCUAGGACUGGGUUUUGCUUCUCUAAGAAACCAGGCAUCUUCCUCUAUGAUUGAGAUUUAUCAAAUAACAGUCUUGUUCCAAUUUACCUUGAUGCUAGAGAGACUAAGAGACUACAGAUCAUUUUGUGGAGCUGCAGUCUAUUUUCACACCUGCCUUGACAUUGCUCUUACUCCCUCUUCAUGUAAGAUCGGCUUCCACUCCUUUUCCUGUGGGUAAGAUUCUUGCUGCCUUUCUUCUGUCACAAUGGCCAAGCCCUUUCAUUUCCUCAGAGAUGCACCAAGAUAACAUCUUAUAGACUGGGAGUUCUCAGAUAUGGCCUGAAUAAAAUCUCUAAUCAUACCCAAGAAAGAGAAAAGACAGACUUCCUCCAGAGAGACCUAUUAAUGAGGUAUCCAUCUCAGCCCAAGUCCUCUGCUCUUUCUGGUCUCGCCUCUAACUCAGCUUAAAGGAAUUUGGACAUCUGAUGACAUUUGGUGGCUUUGAUGCUGCAGACUUGGACGACUGUUUCCUGGCAGUUCACUGGUGGAUGAGGGUUCAGCACCCUCAGGACCCAAGCUUUUUCCCAAUUGCUCUCUAUCCCUUCUUAGCACAAAUCGUGUUCAGACAGUUGGGAGCAAACAUUAUUCUAUUAGAAUGUCUGGCAUCUAUAAUGCAUAAGGCAUGCAUGGGGACUUCCACAGUGAGACUUGAAGGCCAAAGGACGUGGAGGGCAGCACCUAUGAGCUCCUGAAGCAGCGUUGGCACAAAAUUGGCUGUGGCUGUAGUCUGACUUAACAAGAAGAAUCUGUUAUUAAACUGAGUUUUUUGAAAUUUGGGGAUCUGGAGUCAAGCAAAAUAGGGUUAUAAUUCUGCCUCUGCUGUUUCUGGGGGUGUGACUGAGACACAUGGCUUCCUCUCCCAAAGCCUGAACACUCUAGCUACAAAAAAGGGAUAAAAGUCUCUUCCUCAGGGGAUUGCAUGAGAAUUACAUCGGACAACGUGUAGAGAGUAUUUGGUGUGGUG